RNAcentral lists this ribosomal RNA (503 nucleotides) under uncultured bacterium. RNAcentral's name for it is "bacterial SSU rRNA". It matches the Rfam family "Bacterial small subunit ribosomal RNA", at positions 8 to 507 of the family's 1533-position model. The record is from RNAcentral.
AGAGUUUGAUCCUGGCUCAGAUUGAACGCUGGCGGCAUGCCUUACACAUGCAAGUCGAACGCGAAAGGGCUUCGGCCCGAGUAGAGUGGCGGACGGGUGAGUAAUGCGUGGGAAUCUACCCUAGAGCGGGGGACAACCCGGGGAAACUCGGGCUAAUACCGCAUACGUCCUACGGGAGAAAGGGGGCCUCUGAAUGUAAGCUCCCACUCCAGGAUGAGCCCACGUCCGAUUAGCUAGUUGGUAGGGUAAAGGCCUACCAAGGCCACGAUCGGUAGCUGGUCUGAGAGGAUGGCCAGCCACACUGGGACUGAGACACGGCCCAGACUCCUACGGGAGGCAGCAGUGGGGAAUAUUGGACAAUGGGCGCAAGCCUGAUCCAGCAAUGCCGCGUGUGUGAAGAAGGCCUGCGGGUUGUAAAGCACUUUCAGUGGGGAAGAACGGGCUAAGGUUAAUACCCCUGGCUUCUGACGUUACCCACAGAAGAAGCACCGGCUAACUCCGUG